Molecule: transfer RNA, 71 nt
Filed under: bacterium
Lineage: Bacteria
Description: tRNA-His
Rfam family: tRNA
About the family: Transfer RNA (tRNA) molecules are approximately 80 nucleotides in length. Their secondary structure includes four short double-helical elements and three loops (D, anti-codon, and T loops). Further hydrogen bonds mediate the characteristic L-shaped molecular structure. tRNAs have two regions of fundamental functional importance: the anti-codon, which is responsible for specific mRNA codon recognition, and the 3' end, to which the tRNAs corresponding amino acid is attached (by aminoacyl-tRNA synthetases). tRNAs cope with the degeneracy of the genetic code in two manners: having more than one tRNA (with a specific anti-codon) for a particular amino acid; and 'wobble' base-pairing, i.e. permitting non-standard base-pairing at the 3rd anti-codon position.
Source: RNAcentral
UUGGCUGUAGCUUAACGGUAAAGCGCUUGCCUGUGGAGCAAGAUAAGCGGGUUCGACUCCCGUCAGCCAAC